Molecule: small nuclear RNA, 107 nt
Organism: Pan troglodytes (chimpanzee)
Lineage: Eukaryota; Metazoa; Chordata; Mammalia; Primates; Hominidae
Source: Ensembl
GUGCUUGCUUUGGCGGCACAUAUCCUAAAAUUAGAACAAUACGGAGAAAGUUAGCAUGACUUCUGCAUAAGGAGGAAGCACAGAUCUUUGAAGCAUUCCAUAUUUUG